CCGAAGUUUCUCUCAGGAUAGCUGGGACGGGCUCUGUUUCCGAACGGCUUGUGAUCCCACAGUGAGGCGCAUCAGCAAUGGAGUUUCGUCCGGUAAAGCGAAUGACUAGAGGCACGCGGGGGUGCAAGGCCCUCGCACUAUUCUCAAACUUUAAAUGGGCGAGAACCCCGGCAUUCGUGCUCGAUGCACGGGGCGUCCAACGCGGCCAGCACCAAUGCGCUCCCUGUGCCAACGGACUCUAGACUCUCAUGCAAUUUGUUUCUGGCUUCUGCUUUUGAUGGAAUGUGGUGUGACUCAGGUCUAGUACGAAUCAUCCCGAUCCUCAGUGGGUCAUUUCUGGUAAGCAGGACUGAUAAUGAGGGAUGAACCUAACGUUGUGCUAAGGGGCCUAAACGACAGCUAUCUCUUGAUACCAUUGGAAGGGUGCUGCUGGCUGAAGACAGCAGGACGGUGGUCAUGGAAGUCGACAUCCGCUAAGUAGUGUGUAACAACUAAUCCUGCCGAAGCGAGCAACCCUGAAAAUGGAUGGCACUCAAGCUCUCUCCCGAUGCACAACCGUCGGUGGCAAUAAAGGCUUGCGAAAGAACUGUCAGAACUAUAAGUCUCAAAGCCCCGACGAGUAGGGUGGCGUGCCGGUAAGCACUGAAGGCCAAGACGUGAGUCAGGCUGGAGCUGCCGGUAAUGCAGAUCUUGGUGGUAGUAGCAAGUACUCUGGUGAACAACCUGGAGCUGUGAGGCUUGGACAAGGGUUCCAUGUCAACAGUGAUUGAACAUGGGUGAGUCGUACCUAAGCCAACUGUGAAAGCAGUGACAUCCCGUCAAGGGCAUUGCACAUACACACACAACAGCAUACUGUCUCUGUCUCUCUUUAAGCACGUGAUGCCGAGUCUCUUUCAGCAGCGCAAAACACAGGCAAGGCAAGCAAGGCGGUGGUAUCUUGGAUGUGACUCAAUUUCGAAAAAAGAUCGAUCGGGGUUGAACGAACGCACAAAACUCUGGUCAGCUCUUCUGUCCUAUCGGUUUGGGUUUACAGAGUACCCAUCUGACGAAAAAGUGCAAGUAGUUCUCUCCAUCAGUCAGGCACACGGUAUAUGAACCUAACGUACUGAGGCAGGCAGGUGAUAAAAGGAAGGAAGGGGCAGGCAGGUGAAAGAGAGAGACUCGAAACGGCUGAUGCUCGCGCCCCUCGUGGCGUGUGAAGAAAGGACUUGUGUGUGUGUGUAUACACGUGUGUGUGCUCUAAGCUCGAGAUUGGUUUUAAUGUCUGGCGAAAGGGAACGGGGACUUUGUUCCCUGACCGGUCCCGGCACCCUCGAUGGCUUCCGCCUAUCACCGGUCGGAGUAAUCCGAACCAGGCCACAGCCGCCGGCAGCCGCCCAAGGAAGAGUUUUCUUUUCUGCUUAACGCACGAGGUCAUCCCUGGAAGCAGUUCGGCUGGCGACAGGGUGUCCCGUUGCGGCAGAGCGCCACGACUGUCGUGUGCGUCUUGGUGUUUCUGCUGGUCCGUGAAAACGUGGUCGAGGGGAUCUAGCAAUGGACUUGUAGUCAAAAACGUAGACUCUCUUUUCCUCUCUCCUCGUUGGGGAGGGGAGAGAGAGAGCUUCUGCUAAAACGCCCGACAAGUUCGGGACUGACCGUACCCUAUAUCCGCAUCCGGUAUCCAAGGUUCGUAGCCUCUGCAGUCCCAGACACAUGUAGGUAAGGGAAGUCGGCAAACUCGAUCCGUAACUUCGGGAUAAGGAUUGGCUCUGAGGGCCGAGCUGGGCCGGGCUUGCUUGCAACGCAGUACCUAUAGUGACCGGAGUUUAAGGAGUGUACGGGGCCUAAGUAAGGUCUCUCUCUCUCCUUCACGGGAGUUGGGGGGGCACGAACGGGUCUACUGCUCCGCUCCAACCACGAACGGCUGUGACGGCAGGUCUCUGGUCGGGUGCACAUCCAAAUGUUGGCCUCCAGCAUGUCUGGUUGGCGGCAGUGCAUCUCGUCCGACGGCUCCAGCGACUAGCGGCUAACUCAGAACUGUCAUGGACCAAGGGAAUCCGACUGUCUAAUUAAAACAAAGCGUCGUGACGGCCCCUGUUGGGUGUUGACGCGACGUGAUUUCUGCCCAGUGCUCUGAAUGUCAAAGUGAAGAAAUUCACCGAAGCGCGGGUUAACGGCGGGUGUAACUAUGACUCUCUUAAGGUAGCCAAAUGCCUCGUCAUCUAAUUAGUGACGCGCAUGAAUGGAUUAACGAGAUUCCCACUGUCCCUAUCUACCGUCUGGUGAACCAACAGGCAAGGGAACGGACUUGCAUGAACACAGCGGGGAAAGAAGACCCUGUUGAGCUUGACUCUAGUCUGAAUCUGUACGGAGACAUCGGAGGUGCAGCAUAAGUGGGAGGGCCAGGGUGCUUCGGCGCCCACCGAACCGUGAGAUACCACUACUCCCUUCGUCUCCGUACUCCACUCGGUUAUCGGGAGCAAAUACAAAGUGAAUGACGGCGACUGGAUGCUUCGUGGUUGAGUGCUUCGCGGUGUCUUUGCGUUCUCGUCUACGUGCCUUCGCGGGUGCGUGGGUGUUUGCGUGGAGCCCGUGUUCUCUCUUCCACACCAAAGGGGCUCCUGCCUCAUCCUGCUGAGGACAGAUUCAGGUGGGGAGUUUGACUGGGGCGGUACAUCUGUCAAACGAUAACGCAGGUGUCCUAAGGCCAGCUCAACGAGAUCAGAAAUCUCGUGUAGAGCAUAAGGGCCUAUGCUGGCUUGAUCUAGACUUUCAGUAUGAGUACGGACGGUGAAAGCCAGGCCUAUCGAUCCUUUUGACGUUACUGAGUUUAUAGCAAGAGGUAUCAGAAAAGUUACCACAGGGAUAACUGGCUUGUGGCGGCCAAGCGUCCUUAGCGACGUCGCUUUUUGAUCCUUCGAUGUCGGCUCUUCCUAUCAUUGAGUUGCAACCGUCGCCAAGCGUCGGAUUGUUCACCCAUAUCAGGGAACGUGAGCUGGGGUUAGACCGUCGCGAGACAGGUUAGUUUUACCCUCCUGUGGUCUGAAGCUUUGACUAAGUCUAAGCUUGUCGUGUCGCUAUGGAAGUUGUGGCCAGUACGAGAGGAACGUCACAACCGAACCUCUGGUCCCGGACUCGGCCGAGAGGCCGGUGGUCCCAGGCUACGUUCGUACAAGUAAGGCCGAACGCCUCUUAAGCCUGAAACCAUUCCAGAACAUGAGCGACGCUAUCAGCAGUUGGCCUCUACGCUACGCGCUUGCGCGUGUGUGGCAUCGGGUGCUAGCACCUCAGGUCUCCUUGUGGGGCCUGUACAGGUGUAAGCCCGGCGGAUACAAGACAGAGCUGUUGCACACGUGUCCAUCACCCCUCGUGGGCUGGGCACACUCAAGGUCUGGUGCUUCGGUUGAAAACCGCCGGGCUAGGAAUGCCCAUACAGAUCAGGAAAGUCUGUCCAGA
RNAcentral lists this ribosomal RNA (3435 nucleotides) under Eulimnogammarus sp. gam16.4. Its description in RNAcentral is "eukaryotic LSU rRNA". It matches the Rfam family "Eukaryotic large subunit ribosomal RNA", at positions 961 to 3401 of the family's 3401-position model. Lineage: Eukaryota; Metazoa; Arthropoda; Malacostraca; Amphipoda; Eulimnogammaridae. The record is from RNAcentral.